CUUUAACAGGCAGGAGUCUUACAAGUAUUUUUUAUUUAAUUAUUUCUGACAUAUCUUUGUCCUCCCUACUCUAAAGUAACUAUGCUUUCCUCUCCUUGCCCCAAUAUUCCACCUUAUUCCUAGCUAUCAUAACCUUAUUGUCUUUAUUUGCUUUUUGAUUUUCAAGCUAAUAAUGUUGUAAUGAUUAUGUUCAUUUGAAUUUCUGUGAUUAUUACAUUGCUUUGUAUUAUUGCUUAUCUUCUCUCCAUCAAGUAUUUUCAAGGAAUUUGACAAGGGAAGAGGACCAGUGCUGACCAAGUGAAGAAAAAGAAGAGUCUAUUGCCAAGCUUUGUACAGCAGCCAAUAUCUGAUUAAGGAGUGGAAGAUGAGACUGAUCUCAAUCAGUUAACAAGAAUGUGGAAAGUAAGGACUUACUACUGUCUAACCUAAACAUUGAUGGCAGGCGGUUAUGCUGGCAUUGAUCCUGUUUCCAAAAGCAGAUCAACAUGAUUCCUCAAGACUCCAAAGAGAUCAACUAUGGGACCUGAAAAUAAAGGCAGACUGCCAUCAAUUUCAUGUUUCUUUGAUAGCAGACAAAUAUGCUUCAACAAUAGUGCAGAGAGUAAUUUAAGGUUUGGACUGCAAGUGAUGGACACACUAAAUAACUCAACUCAAAGAAUUCAAUGGAUAGUGCUGAGUACAUUAUUAUAUAUCUACAAAGUGAUGGGCACACUAAAUAGCUUAACUGACAGAAUUCAAUGGACCGUGCUGAGAACAUUGUUAUAUAUCUACAAAGUGAUGGACACACUAAAUAGCUUAACUGACAGAAUUCAAUGGACCGUGCUGAGUACAUUGUUAUCUACAAAGUGAUGGACACACUAAAUAGCUUAACUCACAGAAUCCAAUGGACAGAGUUGAGUAUGUACUAAUAUCUACAAAGUGAUGGACACAGUAAACAGCUUAAUUCUCAGGAUUCAGUGUACCAUGCUGAGUACAU
Molecule: long non-coding RNA, 976 nt
Organism: Saccostrea cuccullata (small rock oyster)
Lineage: Eukaryota; Metazoa; Mollusca; Bivalvia; Ostreida; Ostreidae
Exons: 4
Source: RefSeq, a predicted model, not a curated record